AUCACGCUAACAGGCAGCAACACAGCAGCAGAGACCAGAGAGCUCUGACUCUUCCAGAAGCUAAGCAGGGAAGGGAAGGGGGGCAAACCGCUGUUUUUAUCAAUGGCUUUUCGUCCCUACCCAUACUGUUUUCCUGUCUCACACAUUCCAUGCUCCAGCUCCCAACACCCAACCCCCAACCCCCAAUUUCUAUCAUCGCCUGGGUGAAACUAGCCUCCAAUCCAGAGUUUAAUAACAGCCACAGAGAUUCAUAUGGAAUUGUGUACUUGGAGAGACCCAAUAAUCAUCCCCCUUAAUUCCAAUGCAGAAUGCUCAGGAGUUAAUCAAUCCUAGUUUCCAUCUGCGCACAUGUUGUGUUGCAGUCCAAGGAUGUACUUGACCACCCAACUGGCCUGCUGUAAUAGAGACCUAAGUGCUGUGUACUCAGAAACAUUGACAAGCUAUUAUCUUACUUCUUGCCUCCCUGGCCACAAUUCUACACAGAAUCCUGGAAAACUAUGUAAACACCCACAGGCCUUGGAGGAUGUUAGUGUCAAUCUACUGGGAAGAUGACCCCUGAAGACCCUGUAAUCCUCAUCAUUCUGUGAUUCAAAGUGAAAAGCAAUAUGGCCAUGUGAGUCAGUACAAAGAGCAUGGGAUUUGGAAUGAGAAGACCUGAACUUCAGUCCUGGCUUGGCUGUCCACUCACUUUGUGACCUCAAAGAAGCUGAAUGAACAUGUAUUGAGCCUAUGUCUUGCAGCAAGUACUGACUUAGGAUUUGAGGAAAUAAGAUCACCAGACUUGGGACAUGUCCUGAAGUGGAUCAUUGACUCAUGGAGCACCGAGAAUUGUAGACAAUUUCCUCACAUUUUCCUUAUAUAUAGACCGAGCAAACUAACAGCAACUUCUUAGAGUUGUGAGCAUCAAACAAGAUAGAGGUUGUGAAAAGGACUUGGGGACUAUAUGUCACGCAAAGUUAGUGGUAAUUAUUAAUGCUAAGACUGAACUCAUAAUAACUCAUAGAUAUUAUCAUGGUCAUCACCUACAUGAUAUGAUCCCUACUGACCCCUCCAGCGUCAUUUCCCACUAGCUCUCUGUCCUUCUUCUUGGUUGAACAGACCAAAAUAUUCCUUUCUCAGGGUCUUUGCAUUGCCUGAAAUGCAUUUACCCCAGUUAUCUGCACAGUUAAUUCUUUCAUUUUAUUCACACUUUUACUCAAAAGUUAUAUUCCCCAUGGAGGGCCUCUCUGUUCACCAUAUCUAAAAUAGAAAACAUGUGUAUACACACACAGUGCACACACAUACACAUGCAUACAACACACAUGCAUAUAGACAUGCUACAUACACAUACCCACACACACAUACACACAUAUACACACAAGACACAUGUGCGUAUAUGUAUGCACAUACUCUCUAGUUCCUUAUCCUGCUUUAUUUUUCUUCAGAGUACUACCUCUUCCUGAAACUAUGUUUUUAUAUGCUUGUUCACAUGUUUGUUAUCUGACUCUCCACUGUAAGUUCUGUGAGGGCAGAGACUUUGGCUUGUUCAACAUCGUAUUUCCAGUCCCAGAACAACUCCUGACUCAUAAUGUACACUCAAUAAUUAUUGAAAUAUAAUUCAUAUACCAUACAAUUCAUCUAUUUAAAGUAUAAAAUCCAAUGUUGUUUGUUUGUUUUUUGAGACAGGGUCUUACUCUCUCAUCCAAGCUGACAUCCCUGCAGCCACUGCUGCUUUAACUUCCUGGGCUCGAGAGUAGCUGAGACACAGGUGCACAUCACCACAUCUGGCUAACUAAAAAAAAAAAAAUUAUGGGGAUGGGGUCACACUAUGUUGCCCAGGCUGGUGUUGAACUCCUUGGCUCAAGCAAUCCUCUCAGUGCCUCCACCUCCCAAAGUGUUGGGAUUACAGGUAACGAAAUCACCUACUGAUGCAUUUCUCAGAAUAUAUUGCUGUCAUUAAACUAUGCAUGUCUGCAUUUACAGGGUUGUCCAAACAUGAUCACAAUUUUAGAACACUUUCAUCACCCCAGAAAGAAACCCAUACCUGUGAGUGCCACUCUCUAUUAUCCCCUUAAGCCACCCUACCACCCCCGACCCUUGCCUUAGGCAAUUAUGAGUCUACUUUCUGUCUCUAUAGAUUUGUCUAUUCUGGACACAUCACAUACAUGAAAUUAUACAUAUAUGGUCUUUUUGAAAUUAAAUUUUGACUAAUGAACAAAUUACUAAAUCCAAUUCUU
Molecule: long non-coding RNA, 2216 nt
Organism: Gorilla gorilla gorilla (western lowland gorilla)
Lineage: Eukaryota; Metazoa; Chordata; Mammalia; Primates; Hominidae
Exons: 3
Source: RefSeq, a predicted model, not a curated record